Non-coding RNA from Acanthosepion pharaonis, 110 nucleotides. The record is from the annotation of a GenBank genome assembly. NCBI's taxonomy places the organism in Eukaryota, Metazoa, Mollusca, Cephalopoda, Sepiida, Sepiidae.
GGCCCUAUCACACCGAAACACCAGUUCUCCUUUGAUUUCCGCAGUUAAGCAACAUUGAGUCUGAUCAGUAUCUAGAUGGGUGAUUGCUUGGAAAUAGCAGGUACUGUAAG